GACGAACGCUGGCGGCGUGCUUAACACAUGCAAGUCGAACGGAAAGGCCCUGCUUUUGUGGGGUGCUCGAGUGGCGAACGGGUGAGUAACACGUGAGUAACCUGCCCUUGACUUUGGGAUAACUUCAGGGAACUGGGGCUAAUACCGGAUAGGAGCUCCUGCUGCAUGGUGGGGGUUGGAAAGUUUCGGCGGUUGGGGAUGGACUCGCGGCUUAUCAGCUUGUUGGGGGGGUAGUGGCUUACCAAGGCUUUGGCGGGUAGCCGGCCUGAGAGGGUGACCGGCCACAUUGGGACUGAGAUACGGCCCAGACUCCUACGGGAGGCAGCAGUGGGGAAUAUUGCACAAUGGGCGGAAGCCUGAUGCAGCAACGCCGCGUGCGGGAUGACGGCCUUCGGGUUGUAAACCGCUUUCGCCUGUGACGAAGCGUGAGUGACGGUAAUGGGUAAAGAAGCACCGGCUAACUACGUG
This 468-nucleotide ribosomal RNA is filed under the name uncultured bacterium. Its description in RNAcentral is "partial 16S ribosomal RNA". It matches the Rfam family "Bacterial small subunit ribosomal RNA", at positions 28 to 507 of the family's 1533-position model. The record is from RNAcentral.